This is a long non-coding RNA of Gadus macrocephalus (Pacific cod), 2840 nucleotides long. RefSeq lists it as uncharacterized. The transcript is spliced from 4 exons. The record is from RefSeq and is a predicted model, not a curated record. Lineage: Eukaryota; Metazoa; Chordata; Actinopteri; Gadiformes; Gadidae.
UGGAAGCUAGUUUGCUCCAACGCAACUGUGUUGGGAGCGUUUCAUCUGGUAGCCUGGAAGCUAGUUUGCUCCAACGCAACUGUGUUGGGAGCGUUUCACCUGGUAGCCUGGAAGCUAGUUGCUCCAACGCAACUGUGUUGGGAGCGUUUCACCUGGUAGCCUGGAAGCUAGUUGCUCCAACGCAACUGUGUUGGGAGCGUUUCACCUGGUAGCUUGGAAGGUAGUUUGCUCCAACGCAACUGUGUUGGGAGCCUUUCGCCUGGUAGCUAACCUGUGUGUUGUAUUUAUUCAUAUUACUUAAUUGUCUAGCAUCUGCAUCAGCUAGCUAUAGCUGCUGUAUACGGGGAAUGGGUUAGCCUAGCGAUUUUUAGUACUUGCAAUUGGUCCUAUGAACAUCAACACCGGCAAAUUCAGAUUUGUAGUACUGCAAAUUUAAAUUUUUGACAAAUUUUCCAUUUCAAUAUUUUGUCAAAUUUCACAAAGUCCAUUCCCAGAUAUGUACGAACUUCAGCAAUGGAGGCAAGUAAGGUUUAUCACUUUCUAUGGCAAUUUACUUGAGUUAAAUUAUUUGCUCUAUAAAAACAUAUGGUUCUCACUGUACCAUAAUCAUCUUGCUAGAUAUGCCUCAUGCUGUCCUUUAUAUUACUUAUUUGCAAGGAAUUUAAGCAUUGACAAUUAUUUAUGAACGUUGAACCAUGAAAGAAUUGAAUUAUUUUUGUUCAGGGGUGGGUUUGCCCCUGUACAUUUAUUUCAAGAUCAGUGUUCUACAGCGUUUGUCAAAUUCAGGACUGGCGCUGGAAGCUGUAGGUGGAGGGAAGACCAGGAAUGGUGCCGCUCUGCAGAUGCUGAAGGUGUGCCAAAGGGUCACGUGUGUUCCUGAAGGGACUGAGGCGACGCAGUCGGAGGUCCCUGCGGUGGCGGUCAGCGGGAGGUGUCAAGACCAACCAGCUCCUCGUCCAGGAAAGGGGAUUUCUUCAGACUGUUCUUCAAAGGUUCAAUAAAGUCACGAUGGAAGAGCAGAUGGCUGUGCAGUUGCCAUGGUGGAGAGACCCAGAGUAUGAUGACCGAACAGUUGAUCUACAACGAUGGCCUACUCCCCAUCCACCCUGAGGAUCCCUGGCUACACCUACAAUCCAAUCUACCCCAGACAUAACCACUCGGAGCUCAACAACUCCUACAACUCCUCCUGCCUCCUACACACCAUACUGUUACCACUUUACCAUUUUACUUAAAAAAAAAAGUACUGUAAUUCACACCAUGUUGUAGGAAAAGCAUGUUUAGCUCAAUGAUUUAUACAUUCUAUUUCUGUGACCCCAACUAUUGUAUUUCUAACCCAGUUACCUCGUAACCCUCUUUCUAAGGGAGCGACUAAAGGGACAAAGCUGGAGCAAACCUGAGCUUAACAAUCUUUCUAAUCUUUCUUUCAAAUGUCCUAAAUUGAAACAUAUAAAAUGCCUAAAGUAACUUGUCUAACAAAACAAAAAGCCAACCUAAUACCCAAACUUAACCAUCUAACUAAAGAUCUCAAAUGCCUAAACUCUCUUACCUUAACCGAGUACCUAAACCGAACCAUUUAACUAAACAUCUCAAAGGCCUAAACUCGCUUACCUCAACCUAACCUAAUACCCAAACUUAACCAUCUAACUGAAGAGCUCAAACACCUAAACUCUUACCUUAACCUAGUACCUAAACUGAACCAUCUAACUAAACAUCUGAAAGGCCUAAACUCGCUUACCUCAACCUAACCUAAUACCCAAACUUGACCAUCUAACUUAAAAGCCCAAAUGGUUAAACUCUUACCCUAACCUGGUACCUAAACUUGACAAUCUAACUAAGCAUCUCUAAUAACUAAACUCUUUCCUAAUACCUAAACAAUCUUUAAUACAAUCACUAAUGCCUAAACUUAAACAAACACCAAUACUAAAAGUUAACCAUCCUUAAUCUUAAACCCAAACCAGACUUGUCCCUGGGUCGCUCCACUUUGUUUCUUUAAAGGCAUCUCUUUUCCCCUGCAUCUGUGUUUUAUUCCUUGAGGACUUCAGGUGGGGUGCCAUACAGUGUUGCAUGGGUUCUUGGGUCAAUUGUGGCACCCAUUGCACUCCUGACCAUCCCUGGAAGAAGGGAUCCCCUCCACUGCGUUUCUUCUCAAGAUUUCUUCCUUGCUGAUUCAAGGGAGUUUUUUCUUGCCCGUGUGGGGGCAUGGGUAAAGGGGGGUGUCACAAAUAUUUGGCCUGUUAAGCCCUUUGAGACUGUAAUGGUGAUUAAGGACUAUACAAAUAAAAUUGAAUUGAAUUGAAUAAAGAUACUUCAUCUUUACAGAUUUUGUUUUGGGGAAUUGGGACAGCUGAGCAGCUUAAGCAUCCUUACUGGUGAAUCUGAUCUGACGAUAUCAAUCAUAGGACUAUGAAGCUGCAGAGUUCUUCCAAGAAAGGGUUCCAAUCCAGGAUAGCUUUUAACACACUUUAUUUGUUAAAGUAUUUCGGUAUGGUAACUACGGAGCAAAAGGAGGUGGAAGCGUGUUGAACACGUGCUGAGCGUCUCCCUGCUGAUCAAAAACAUUAACCCUUUGUCUGGUAGCAGCUAGAAGAUUCUGAAGUCCAACUUCUCUGUCGAGAUUGAACUGAAAUGCAAUGCACAACAUGCAAUUUGUCCUUACCUCAAUUUUUAAAACUUUUAAUAUUUUUUAUUAUUACUAUUUAUUGUGCUGCGCCCUCUCGCUCUCUCUCGAUCUCUCUCUGUAUUAAUACUGUACUUGACUUGGGAAGCCCUGCACAAGAAUUCCAAUGUGUUUGAACUGUCUGGUUUAUGCACAAAUGGCGAAUAAAAACCUUUGAACCUUU